UCAGAGUUGCUUGAAAAUGUUGAUCAGCGAAAAAUUUAGCAAUAGAACAAAACACGUAGCAACAAGAUUACAUUUUAUACGAGAUCCAAUUCAGCAAACCGAGAUAAGCUGCAUCUAUUGUCCAACUGAACUUACACUCAGAAAUAAUAUAAAUCGUGAAAUGUUUAAAAUCCACUCGUUUUUGAUAUUAUGUAAAGGUAUACUUGGUCAUGUUUACGAAGUAUACAAUUUCAUAUUAGUAUUCUAAACUAAGCCCGAUUAAUGCGAGGUAAUUUUGUUCGGUGUAUUCAUUGAAGACGUCAAAACUUCAGUUUUGUUGCUAAUGAUCGUCGGCUAGUUUUUCUCGUUUUUCUUCUGUGUUCUCAGAAAACUCAUUCACGGCUGCAGUUCAAUACGGAGAUAGAAAAUAGAGGAGCAAUUGAACCAAACGGUUAUCAACGCCAAGCUUGGAUCAGGGGAGCGCAUUCGUUUCCGGUGGACAGCAAGCAAGACGGAUAUUUCCUGCAUUAGAGUGCCAACUUCAAAUCUUAUUUACGGACGAGGUCCAGAAAAAACGAAUUCCAUGAAGAAAACACCCGCGAAUUUGGUUUGACUCUUCCUCUCUGUGUUGCGGAUACAUUCAUCCCGGGAAGCCGUGCCGUGCAAUGUUUAACGUCGGAAGUGUUCGUGGCAACAAAGUUGUACGUCUACGGAGCAGCUCCCCCUCCACUGCCGAUCAUAGUAAAAGCUCGUUGCACCCAUCAGAUAGUUCUAGAAAUAAGCUUAUUCUCUGUGAUUCCUAAUGUAUCACCUUAAUUACUUAUGUGUCAACAUAUUUUUAUAUAUAAAGUAUAUAAAUAAAGAAAUGUUAAGUCAAUUUCAUGUUGCUUCCAAAUAAUAUGAUUAUCAGCCAGAUAUUUUAACCUCACUUUUUUUGUUUAUGUUCUAGACUUAUACUGAGCCUCAUGUAUAUUCAACUUAUAUUGUCUGUUUCAUUCACAACAAAACGCGCCGCCAACUUUCGAACAGACUGAAAAAAAUCAUCGCCAGCAAACCAAUCAAAGGAGGUGCUUUGCUUUUGUGUUGGCAAGACUGGG
Aedes aegypti (yellow fever mosquito) is the source of this 1076-nucleotide long non-coding RNA. RefSeq lists it as uncharacterized. Lineage: Eukaryota; Metazoa; Arthropoda; Insecta; Diptera; Culicidae. The transcript has 2 exons. The record is from RefSeq and is a predicted model, not a curated record.